This 169-nucleotide ribosomal RNA is filed under the name uncultured bacterium. RNAcentral describes it as "partial 16S ribosomal RNA". It matches the Rfam family "Bacterial small subunit ribosomal RNA", at positions 338 to 524 of the family's 1533-position model. The record is from RNAcentral.
CCUACGGGAGGCAGCAGUGGGGAAUAUUGGACAAUGGGCGAAAACCUGAUCCAGCAAUGCCGCGUGAGUGAUGAAGGCCCUAGGGUUGUAAAGCUCUCCUACCCGGGAUGAUAAUGACAGUACCGGGAGAGUAAGCUCCGACUAACUCCGUGCCAGCAGCCGCGGUAAU